UUCCAGACUCCUACGGGAGGCAGCAGUGGGGAAUAUUGCGCAAUGGGGGGAACCCUGACGCAGCAACGCCGCGUGCAGGAAGAAGGUCUUCGGAUUGUAAACUGUUGUCGCAGGGGAAGAAGACAGUGACGGUACCCUGUGAGAAAGUCACGGCUAACUACGUGCCAGCAGCCGCGGUAAUACGUAGGUGACAAGCGUUGUCCGGAUUUACUGGGUGUAAAGGGAGCGUAGACGGCGAUGCAAGUCUGAAGUGAAAGCCCGGGGCUCAACCCCGGGACUGCUUUGGAAACUGUAUGGCUGGAGUGCUGGAGAGGCAAGCGGAAUUCCUAGUGUAGCGGUGAAAUGCGUAGAUAUUAGGAAGAACACCAGUGGCGAAGGCGGCUUGCUGGACAGUAACUGACGUUGAGGCUCGAAAGCGUGGGGAGCAAACAGGAUUAGAUACCCGGGUAC
This 450-nucleotide ribosomal RNA is filed under the name uncultured bacterium. RNAcentral describes it as "bacterial SSU rRNA". It matches the Rfam family "Bacterial small subunit ribosomal RNA", at positions 329 to 793 of the family's 1533-position model. The record is from RNAcentral.